GCUGCCCUUCUGCCGCGAGGAGGGGCGGGACGGGCCGACGGUCCCCGAGACCGCGUCAGGGGCUGUGCCUCCGCGUCAGCGCGAGUGUAGACUUGCUUCCCCAAGUUUUACUGUAAUGCGCCUCUUGGCGGUGCCGGUGUCCAGCUGCGCGCUGCCUCCGCUGCGUGGCUCCGGGAGCUGGGACGGCGGAGUGCGCGCCGGCUUCACCUCUGCGGGAGCCAGGUGGCCCUCGGGGUAACAGUGCGCCGGCGGGACUUUGGUCCAUCCCUGAGGACAGGAGGGAAAAAGGGAGAAGCCGCCCGGCCCUGCAGAUCCAAUGGAAAACAUUGUAAACAUACACCAGCAAGCAUUCUGCAAUGAACAGAAGAAAUUCAUGGCUGAAAUGGAGUACAUGGAUGUAGGACCCUUUUGAAAUUCGCAGAGAAGCUUUACAAGAAAGUUUGAUUUUUUUCCAUAAAGGCAAAAUUUUAUUAAAAAGACUGCUUCUGGACCUAGAAAUUCUUUGUCACAGUAUUGUUUUUAUGGGAUAUAUUCCAUAAAAUAUAUUGAAGGAAUAUAUUGGUAGAUGUCACUUUCCCAGUCUGUAACUACUGGAGAUGGAACUAAUCAAUUUCUAACUGCUGUGGAAAAUUCAUAUGCAAGUUUAUGGAAUCAAGAAAAGGAGAAAGGUAGUUAAACCUAAGCUCCUUUAAUAUUUUAUUUAUUUAUUUUUUUAAGACUAGUCAAGUAUGGUAGUGAGAAGAGAAGAAUAGAACAAGGAGUUCAAUCUGUAACUGACUGUGAACAAUUGAGAUAAUAAAACUACCUUCAGACCAGCCUAAGCUCCUUUAAUAUUAAGUUGUUAUUAUAGUAUUGAAACUUCUGAUUCCCAUUUCACCACAUUUACCUUGAAGUAAACAGCUUUACUGGGGUAUAUUUUCAAGUGUUUGGAGACGCUGAAGUAGUGUAUAUGAAUGAAACUGAAGAAUAAAUUUUAUUUUAUGAUAGGAUGAAAGAAAUGCAAUGUUUAGCUAUAUCUUAGCCUAAUUUACACUUUCCUAGUUUACAGUGUAAAUAACAGAAAUUAUUUUGUCAUGGAGUUACUGUUAAAUAAGGUUUACCCAUAAGUCUGGAAUUAUUAUUAAUAUACAUUUUUUAUUAUUCAAGUUGACAAGUCUGCUUCUUUGGGUCAUGUACUCAAACAUGAACAUAACUUUGUUAUUUAGAGCUCAGUUUUGGUUAUGGUUUUCAUUAGAAGAAUUGAUCUAUCUUCUUGCUUUCCAAAA
Non-coding RNA from Chlorocebus sabaeus (green monkey), 1265 nucleotides. Lineage: Eukaryota; Metazoa; Chordata; Mammalia; Primates; Cercopithecidae. The record is from RefSeq and is a predicted model, not a curated record.